RNAcentral lists this ribosomal RNA (1244 nucleotides) under metagenome. RNAcentral describes it as "bacterial LSU rRNA". It matches the Rfam family "Bacterial large subunit ribosomal RNA", at positions 1564 to 2818 of the family's 2925-position model. The record is from RNAcentral.
UGAAUACGAGAUGCUACGGCGUCGGAGCAAUCUAUGUCAUACUUCCAAGAAAAGCUCGCACUGUCAUAAACAAAUAAUGCCUGUACCAUAACCGACACAGGUGGGUAGGUAGAGUAUACUAAGGGGCGCGAGAUAACUCUCUCUAAGGAACUCGGCAAAAUGACUCCGUAACCUCGGGAGAAGGAGUGCCUUAUUUAUAAGGUUGCAAUAACAAGAUCCAAGCAACUGUUUAUCAAAAACACAGGUCUCCGCUAAGUCGUAAGACGAUGUAUGGGGGCUGACGCCUGCCCAGUGCCAGAAGGUUAAAGAAGUUGGUUAGCAUUCGCGAAGCUGAUAACUGAAGCCCUGGUGAACGGCGGCCGUAACGAUAACGGUCCUAAGGUAGCGAAAUUCCUUGUCGGGUAAGUUCCGACCCGCACGAAAGGCGUAAUGAUUUGGAUACUGUCUCGGAGAGGGGCUCGGUGAAAUAGACUUGUCUGUGAAGAUGCGGACUACCUGCACCAGGACAGAAAGACCCUAUGAAGCUUUACUGUAACUUGAGAUUGAAAUUGGACUUUACUUGCGCAGUAUAGGUGGGAGGCGUUGAUAAUAUUCUUGCGGGAUUAUUUGAGCCAUCAGUGAGAUACCACUCUUGUAAUGUUAGAUUUCUAACUUUGUAUCAUUAUCUGGUCAAAGGACAGUUUCAGGCGGGCAGUUUGACUGGGGCGGUCGCCUCCUAAACGGUAACGGAGGCGCACAAAGGUUUCCUCUGAACGGGUAGAAAUCGUAUCUAGAGUGUAAAGGCAUAAGGAAGCUUGACUGUGAGACCUACAAGUCGAGCAGGGACGAAAGUCGGUCUUAGUGAUCUGACGGUGCUGAGUGGAAAGGCCGUCACUCAACGGAUAAAAGUUACUCUAGGAUAACAGGCUGAUCUCCCCCAAGAGUUCACAUCGACGGGGAGGUUUGGCACCUCGAUGUCGGCUCAUCGCAUCCUGGGGCGGUAGUACGUCCCAAGGGUUGGGCUGUUCGCCCAUGAAAGCGGUACGCGAGCUGGGUUCAGAACGUCGUGAGACAGUUCGGUCCAUAUCCGGUGUAGGCGUUAGAAUAUUGAGAGGAGCCUUCUUUAGUACGAGAGGACCGAGAAGGACAUACCUCUGGUGUACCAGUUAUCGUGCCAACGGUAAACGCUGGGUAGCUAUGUAUGGAGUGGAUAACCGCUGAAAGCAUCUAAGUGGGAAGCCCACCUCGAGAUAAGUAUUCUCAUC